UGAGGGAAUAUUUGGGGUCAAUGGCCGAGAGGCUGAACCAGCCAAGUAGCGUGCAGGACGACGGCCCUACGGGUUGUAAACUGCUUUUGCGGGAGGAUAAAGUGCGCCACGCGUGGCGCUUUGCAGGUAUCCCGUGAAUAAGGACCGGCUAAUUCCGUGCCAGCAGCCGCGGUAAUACGGAAGGUCCGGGCGUUAUCCGGAUUUAUUGGGUUUAAAGGGAGCGCAGGCGGAGGUGCAAGCGUGCCGUGAAAGCGCGGGGCUCAACCCCGUACAGCGGCGCGAACUGCUCCCCUUGGUUGCGGGAAGGGAAGGCGGAACUCGUGGUGUAGCGGUGAAAUGCAUAGAUAUCACGAAGAACUCCGAUCG
RNAcentral lists this ribosomal RNA (366 nucleotides) under uncultured Prevotella sp. Its description in RNAcentral is "bacterial SSU rRNA". It matches the Rfam family "Bacterial small subunit ribosomal RNA", at positions 354 to 715 of the family's 1533-position model. The record is from RNAcentral. Lineage: Bacteria; Pseudomonadati; Bacteroidota; Bacteroidia; Bacteroidales; Prevotellaceae.